GCCAGAGUCCGAUGAUGAGGAGGAUGAGGAAGAUGACGAGGAAGAUGAUCCUGGGAGUGGCGAAAUUGACGGUGAUGAUAGGCCAUAUAGAAUGAACAACGGGCAUAGCGUGGAAGGGAUAGUCGAUGUUGAUGAGGAUGAAGAGAGUGAUGCGGAUGAGGAGGAGACAGAGACGGCGAGAGGGGUUAAUGGAUCAAGUAGGUCUUCUCACCAUCAGUCAAACGGUUUUCGGGUUGCUGCAGUGAAUGGAGAGGAGGAAGAUGAGGAUGAGGGCGAUGAUGAAGAGGACAAUGAUUCAGGGGAGGAGAUUGAUGAAGAGGAUGGUGAGGAUGAAGAUGUGAUUGAGGUUCAUGAGAUUGAGGACAGUGAUGAUGAAGAAGACGGUGUAGAAGAUGAAGAUGAUGAGGAUGAGGAUGAUGAUGAUGAGGAUGAAGAAGAGGAAGUGGAUAACGAAGAGGGGGGUUUUACAGAGCCGAGGAGUACAGGGCGGGUGAUGAGCGCGGAAGGGGAGAUUGAUG
Molecule: long non-coding RNA, 518 nt
Filed under: Vitis vinifera (wine grape)
Lineage: Eukaryota; Viridiplantae; Streptophyta; Magnoliopsida; Vitales; Vitaceae
Description: long non-coding RNA (VVIN_LNC001163)
Source: RNAcentral